Non-coding RNA from Orycteropus afer afer, 71 nucleotides. The record is from the annotation of a RefSeq genome assembly. Lineage: Eukaryota; Metazoa; Chordata; Mammalia; Tubulidentata; Orycteropodidae.
GCAUUGGUGACUCAGUGGUAGAAUUCUCGCCUUUUGUACGAGAGACCUGGGUUCGAUUCCCGGCCAGUGCA